CACGUAGGGCGCAAGCGUUGUCCGGAAUUAUUGGGCGUAAAGAGCUCGUAGGCGGUCUGUUGCGUCCGCUGUGAAAACUCGGGGCUUAACCCCGAGCCUGCAGUGGAUACGGGCAGACUAGAGGUAGGUAGGGGAGAAUGGAAUUCCCGGUGUAGCGGUGAAAUGCGCAGAUAUCGGGAGGAGCACCGGUGGCGAAGGCGGUUCUCUGGGCCUUACCUGACGCUGAGGAGCGAAAGCAUGGGGAGCAAACAGG
Molecule: ribosomal RNA, 253 nt
Filed under: uncultured bacterium
Lineage: Bacteria
Description: partial 16S ribosomal RNA
Rfam family: Bacterial small subunit ribosomal RNA
Source: RNAcentral